RNAcentral lists this ribosomal RNA (468 nucleotides) under uncultured bacterium. Its description in RNAcentral is "partial 16S ribosomal RNA". It matches the Rfam family "Bacterial small subunit ribosomal RNA", at positions 28 to 507 of the family's 1533-position model. The record is from RNAcentral.
GACGAACGCUGGCGGCGUGCUUAACACAUGCAAGUCGAACGGAAAGGCCCUGCUUUUGUGGGGUGCUCGAGUGGCGAACGGGUGAGUAACACGUGAGUAACCUGCCCUUGACUUUGGGAUAACUUCAGGAAACUGGGGCUAAUACCGGAUAGGAGCUCCUGCUGCAUGGUGGGGGUUGGAAAGUUUCGGCGGUUGGGGAUGGACUCGCGGCUUAUCAGCUUGUUGGUGGGGUAGUGGCUUACCAAGGCUUUGACGGGUAGCCGGCCUGAGAGGGUGACCGGCCACAUGGGGACUGGGAUACGGCCCAGACUCCUCGGGGGGGCAGCAGGGGGGAAUAUUGCACAAGGGGCGGAAGCCUGAUGCAGCAGCCCCGCGGGCGGGAUGACGGCCUUCGGUUUGAAACCCGUUUUCGCCUGUGACGAAGGGUGAGUGACGGUAAUGGGUAAAGAAGCCCCGGCUAACUACGUG